CCCAUUUGACUUACUCAAAAGCCCAAUCCCAAGCCCAUUGAACACUAAAACCUCCAUUGACUGGUGCUGCAAGUCUAACAGCACCGUGUAACUGCCCGACCAGCAUGAAUCCCUCGUCGAUAAGGUAUUCCUCAUCUAAUUAAAGCGUACAAGUGUAGUGAUUUUAGCUAAACUAUUUGAUCAAUUUUUGGAAUUUAAUUUUCUUAUGCUUUCGUUGUCUGGUGGUUUUACAACAAUUUUAUGUCCAUUUGUGGGGAGAUUUGUUUUCUUUUGCUUGUGUUUAGAAUAAUUCG
RNAcentral lists this long non-coding RNA (293 nucleotides) under Olea europaea (common olive). RNAcentral describes it as "long non-coding RNA (OEUR_LNC011300)". Lineage: Eukaryota; Viridiplantae; Streptophyta; Magnoliopsida; Lamiales; Oleaceae. The record is from RNAcentral.